CCCUUAGAUGUUCUGGGCUGCACGCGCGCUACAUUGACUGAAUCAACGAGUUUUUCCUUGGCCGAAAGGUCUGGGCAAUCUUUGAAACUCAGUCGUACUAUGGAUCGCUGAUUGCAACUAUUCGGCGUGAAAGAGGAAUGCCUUGUAAAUAUAGUUCAUCAGACUGUAUUGAAUACGUCCCUGCCCUUUGUACACACCGCCCGUCGCUCCUACCAAUUGGUGCAAACGGUGAGAAGUUCGGAGAUAUUGAGCAUGCAGGGUCAAACUUGCGGUUCUAAAUCAAAGUACUUCAAAUCUUUUGUACUAGAGGAAGGAGAAGUCGUAACA
This 327-nucleotide ribosomal RNA is filed under the name uncultured eukaryote. Its description in RNAcentral is "partial 18S ribosomal RNA". It matches the Rfam family "Eukaryotic small subunit ribosomal RNA", at positions 1470 to 1796 of the family's 1831-position model. The record is from RNAcentral.